Molecule: ribosomal RNA, 451 nt
Filed under: uncultured bacterium
Lineage: Bacteria
Description: partial 16S ribosomal RNA
Rfam family: Bacterial small subunit ribosomal RNA
Source: RNAcentral
AACGAACGCUGGCGGCAGGCUUAACACAUGCAAGUCGAACGCGUGUAGCAAUACACGAGUGGCGCACGGGUGAGUAACGCGUGGAUAUCUGCCUUUUGGUUCGGAAUAACCCCGGGAAACUGGGGCUAAUACCGGAUGGUUCCUUCGGGAUAAAGAUUUAUCGCCAAAAGAUGAGUCCGCGUCCGAUUAGCUAGUUGGUGAGGUAAUGGCUCACCAAGGCGACGAUCGGUAGCUGGUCUGAGAGGACGAUCAGCCACACUGGGACUGAGACACGGCCCAGACUCCUACGGGAGGCAGCAGUGGGGAAUAUUGGACAAUGGGGGCAACCCUGAUCCAGCCAUGCCGCGUGAGUGAUGAAGGCCUUCGGGUUGUAAAGCUCUUUUGGCGGGGACGAUGAUGACGGUACCCGCAGAAUAAGCCCCGGCCAACUUCGUGCCAGCAGCCGCAGUAA